This 253-nucleotide ribosomal RNA is filed under the name uncultured bacterium. Its description in RNAcentral is "partial 16S ribosomal RNA". It matches the Rfam family "Bacterial small subunit ribosomal RNA", at positions 524 to 776 of the family's 1533-position model. The record is from RNAcentral.
UACGGAGGGUGCAAGCGUUACUCGGAAUCACUGGGCGUAAAGGGCGCGUAGGCGGCCUAGCAAGUCUGGUGUGAAAGCCCAGGGCUCAACCCUGGAAGGGCACUGGAAACUGUUAGGCUUGAGUUCCGGAGAGGAGGGGGGAAUUCCCGGUGUAGCGGUGAAAUGCGUAGAUAUCGGGAGGAAUACCGGUGGCGAAGGCUCCCCUCUGGACGGAAACUGAAGCUGCGGCGCUUAAGCGUGGGGAGCAAACAGG